RNAcentral lists this long non-coding RNA (1575 nucleotides) under Stylophora pistillata. RNAcentral describes it as "uncharacterized LOC111325136, transcript variant X2". Lineage: Eukaryota; Metazoa; Cnidaria; Anthozoa; Scleractinia; Pocilloporidae. The record is from RNAcentral.
CAGGCUCAUAAUGACGAGAGCCACCACUGACGAACAUUUGACCUGACUGCGUUGGUCGUAUCUGAGCGCCCCUUCCAUCGUUCGGCCACUAAGAGAGUCGCAUAUUCAAGUGCUGUUGAAGCUUCUACUUCGGAACUGUCGGAAGAACAGGUUUGUUUCUGUCUUUCUAUUGAUUUUUGUGCUGUACGACUCAUUGAAAAGUUGAAAUGCAUCAAGGUGAUGGGAAAGGAAGCCACAGAUGUGUGGGUCCUCAACAAGACAAACCACAUAGAUGAUACCAGGAGUGUCAUUCCAAGGGAAGCACAGAUUUACAUCCUUUUGGAUGAUACAUCCCUUCCUGUUUUGACUGGAAUAACAAUUGCUUGAUAUGCUCUUGCCAGACAGACAAUUCGAUGGUGCCAGUGCUAUCACAGAGAACUGCAUUUCUCACCACUGCCCCAUUUUUUUCUGUAGUAGUUUCAGGGCCUCUCCAGGUAAUCAUCCCACUGACUGUAAAGAUGCCAGAUGUUUGGCUUGUGAGCAAAGAGUCAAUCUUUGUUACUUCCUUUGUUGGUGGAGACAAUUUGAAGUCCCCACCAUGUGGAAGCGCAUCAAGUACUGCACUGCUGUAAUUGAAGAAAAGAGGUCUACUGCUUGAAACUUGUAAGUGCUUUACUACAAUUGGUUUUUGUGUAACCAUGGCAUCAAGAAACAGUUGACAUUUUGAAAAUUCGUGUGCCUUCACCAUGAAGACUUUUUUGGUCUUGGGUUACUUGCAAAUGGACAUCAAAGAAGGUGUUGGUUCAAUCAAUCAAUCAAUUAGAGUUUAUUGUCUAACGUGAGGCGUGGUUGCCCAAUUGCCCAAGGCAGAGGCUCAUCUAUAAAAUGGUAGACUAGAAAUUAACUAUAAUUAAAGGUAUAUUAUUAGAAGUACUUAAAACUUUAUAGGUAAAAAUAUAUAAGUUUAGAGUAUGAAUGAUAAUUGUAAAAUUGUAGGUGAUUAAUAUUGAUAGUUAAAGAGUCUUAACAUUAUGUUCAGUGAAAGAUAUUGCAGAAGAUGAAUAUGAAUAAAAAAUGACAAUGUAGGUGUAUGUACAAUAAAAGUCAACUACAUGUAUUACAUUUAUAGAUUGGUCCUAGAGUGCUAAAAUCGAAAUUCUUAAGUUUACUACAGAAAUCGCUGAGCUUAGAUGCUGUUUUAAUUUCUCUAGGUAAACUGUUUCAAAGGUGAUUAGCUGGAUGAUUGAGUACUCUUCUGUAUUUCAGUGCAGACUUGCACAUACCCUGCCAAAUUUGCAAGAGAAAACAUACAUAUUAGAGUGAUUUUACUUAGCGUCUGAAAUAGUCACUAUACUUUUAGUUGGUAUUAAGUGAUUGUUUUCUUUUGUUUAGUUUAGAGUGUUACACACCAACUGCAAGAUAUUGUUUCUCAGGUUAAAUAAAAUCACUCUAAAAAGAGUUUGUAUCAAAAGUGGUUAGGGCUUGUCCUAUAAAAUUAUAUUGUUUAAUCUCUUUUAGACUAUUCUUGUUUAGCUCUGUUGAUUAUAGCAUCAUAUAAUCAUCUGAGAAGGGCUAGGUCACAGUAUUGAGAUGAUU